UGGGCACGGGAGCGCCCCUGCCAUGCUUGGAGACCGCCAUUCCUGCCUUGUUAUGUGCCAUGCGCAUUAUCUGGCUCGCUCUCCGUGUGUAUUGUCUCCCACCAGACGGCCAAAUAACAAUCGACAUAACAAAUGGUUUUACCAGCGGAACGAUAAUCAUCCCACAGCGGUCGCUUGUUUGUUUGUUAUCGCGCAAAUCCAGCGCAGCGUCCACAGCCCUUUGGGUCCUCACUGCCCUUCUCUCUUGCGUCGACGACGGAGCCUUUUUGAUUUCAAAACUUUUUCUUUUGAUUCUUCAAAGCUGGGAAAAGGUGCAACGACUUUAUUUAAAUUUUUUUUUCUUUUUCAUUCUUCUGAUUCCUGGAUUUGAAACUUUUUUGGAGGAAUAAUACAAACGAAACAAUUGAAAGACACCUAUUUCGGGGGUUCAAAACCUUAAAAAAAAAGUGAAACAAUGGAAGGGGAUUCAUGGGAAAAGUAAAAGAAAAAAAUAAAACAUUUGAAACAUGAAAUGAAAUCGAAAAGAAGAAUCCACCAGGUGGUGAUUGGAAGAAUGAAAAAUAAUAAUAAUAAAAAAAAAAGGUUUCUUGUUUUUUGUGGGCGUGUUAAUUGUAAUGGACUUGGAAAAUUUGUGAGGCGCGAAACUUGGAACUUCGACCUCAGCAGCAGCAGCUCGUUGCUGCCUGCCCCCGGAAUGUAAAUGAGCCUUCUAAUUUCACCGCAUUGUAAAUUGCUCCUGUUCCAAUCUCCUCCCAGGGCAAGAAACGCGUACCUUAAUGUCUCUCUUUUCCAUUUUCUACGUGUUUUUCCCUUCUUUAUUUUGUCUGGUGGUUCGAAGAUGGGCCACACACAACUACGGACACUACAGAGGAGAGUAACGAUAUGCAAUCACAUUUGAAUAUGUCUGUACAUGGACUUUUUAGAAACUCUCACAUUCCAUGAUUUGAAGGCCUAGAAUUAUGGGAUUCUAAUUUCUAUCAAAAAUGCAUUUCACCUGAUUUCAAUUCACUGCUCAUCAAGCUAGAUUUUUUUAAUGCGGCAACGUUGAUAGUUUGACAGUCAACAACAAAAUGGCGGAGCAUUUGAGCAAGUUGGAUAUCGUUCAAACGACAGCAGCCUUAAAAUCCCUGCGUUCUCUGAGAAACAAUGUCGCUGCAUUGUUUUACAGCCUCACUGAAGGUAUCGCUCGGACUUCUAUCGGGAUAGGAUAGGAUAGUAAAGAAUCCAGAUUUUCAGCAGAGUUACAACAACAAUUGGUCACAGUUCAAAGUGGUAUCAAGAAUUUCGAAGAAGCUACACACAAUAUUUAUUCUGUUCAAGUCAAUGUGGGAAACAGUAGCCACUUAAAUCAGGAUUGCACCCCUAGCUGACACCUUUAAUCUUUAUGAAUCCAUUGACUGAUAAUCUACAAGAUCUCAUUUGGUGAUUGGAAUGAUGCGCUGCCGUCGUUUAUAGGCCUACUAGUCGAAGACUCGAAACAACGAUGGUGAACAAAAUGGUGGAUCAAGCAAGAAGCAACAGCUGCCUUAAAAUCACUUCGAUAUCUGAGAAAAAUGUCCCGACAUUGUUUCACAGCCAUGCACAGCCUCACUGAAGGUAUCGGACUUCAAUCGGGACAGGAAAUCACGGAAUCCAGAUUUGUAGCAGAGUUACAACAACAAUUGGUCACAUCAGUUGAAAGUGGUGUCAAGAAUUCGAAGAAGCCAUAAACAAGGUUCAAUUCCUUCCUUCAAUUCCAAUUCUGUUCAAGUUAAUUUGGGAAACAGUGGCCACCUAAAUCAGGAUUUCACCCCCGACACCCGUAUGAACACCGUUAUUAAUCAUGUCAUAUCAUAUAAUAUGUCACAUCAUGCAGAUGGACAGAUAAUGCACUAGAUCUUUUGUGGUGCUCAGAAAUAUUUAAUUCUAUAAUUUAUUUUCUUUUGUGUGGCUUGUAGUAUUCCGGUUAUGCUAAAACUCUGAUACUUAGUCAAAAUGCACUCAAGCAUUCUACACAGACCCAUAUGCCAAGAGAAGCAGAAUCCAACAAACGUAGCAAGAGUGUCGUACCACAGUACAUAACUUAAACAAUCUGUCAAAUUGAAUCUCAAGUAAUUGUUUUUAUCGAGUAGACUACUAUUGGUAAUGUCAUCAA
This 2134-nucleotide long non-coding RNA is filed under the name Daphnia pulex (common water flea). Its description in RNAcentral is "uncharacterized LOC124193360". Lineage: Eukaryota; Metazoa; Arthropoda; Branchiopoda; Diplostraca; Daphniidae. The record is from RNAcentral.